This is a non-coding RNA of Chelonoidis abingdonii (Abingdon island giant tortoise), 361 nucleotides long. Lineage: Eukaryota; Metazoa; Chordata; Testudines; Testudinidae. The record is from RefSeq and is a predicted model, not a curated record.
UAUAUUUCUCUGAUACUGAGUUGAAAUCUUCAUUUCUGAAACAUCUCAUUGCAAAUCCAUGACUAAUUUGCUGUCUUCUGUCACCCAUAGAUUAUCUGAAAGGACUAAUUUUUGACUCAACUCAACACCUUGUCUUCAUCAAUUUUCACUCAUACAAGGACUGUCUGCUGAGAUCAUUUCCCUUUGAGGGCACUGUCCAUACAGCUGAUAGCUGAAUUCAGACUGAGCUUUAAUGAAGAAACGUCAAAGCUGCUAACAAUCACACAAACAGGGACUCAAGACCUUUGUGACCAAUGAUGUGGUCUUCAUGGAGACUGAUUCUGUUUCUAUCACUCACUGGGUGUCUUUCAGAAUUUCAGCA